CAGCAGCCACGGUAAUACGAAGGGUGCAAGCGUUGUCCGGAAUUAUUGGGCGUAAAGGGCUCGCAGGCGGUUUCUUAAGUCUGAUGUGAAAGCCCCCGGCUCAACCGGGGAGGGUCAUUGGAAACUGGGAAACUUGAGUGCAGAAGAGGAGAGUGGAAUUCCACGUGUAGCGGUGAAAUGCGUAGAGAUGUGGAGGAACACCAGCGGCGAAGGCGACUCUCUGGUCUGUAACUGACGCUGAGGAGCGAAAGCGUGGGGAGCGAACAGGAUUAGAUACCCGCGUAGUCCCUGUCUCUUAUAC
Molecule: ribosomal RNA, 301 nt
Filed under: uncultured bacterium
Lineage: Bacteria
Description: partial 16S ribosomal RNA
Rfam family: Bacterial small subunit ribosomal RNA
Source: RNAcentral